This 77-nucleotide transfer RNA is filed under the name Caedibacter sp. 38-128. Its description in RNAcentral is "tRNA-His". It matches the Rfam family "tRNA". Rfam says of the family: Transfer RNA (tRNA) molecules are approximately 80 nucleotides in length. The record is from RNAcentral. RNAcentral also lists the same sequence under 1 other name. Lineage: Bacteria; Pseudomonadati; Pseudomonadota; Gammaproteobacteria; Thiotrichales; Fastidiosibacteraceae.
GCGAAUGUAGCUCAGCUGGUUAGAGCGUCGGUUUGUGGUACCGAAGGUCGUGGGUUCGAGCCCCAUCAUUCGCCCCA